Molecule: ribosomal RNA, 481 nt
Filed under: uncultured bacterium
Lineage: Bacteria
Description: partial 16S ribosomal RNA
Rfam family: Bacterial small subunit ribosomal RNA
Source: RNAcentral
GACGAACGCUGGCGGCGUGCUUAACACAUGCAAGUCGAGCGGAAAGGCCACUUCGGUGGUACUCGAGCGGCGAACGGGUGAGUAACACGUGAGUAAUCUGCCCCUGGCUUUGUGAUAGCCACCGGAAACGGUGAUUAAUACCGGAUACGACCACUUCUCGCAUGGGAUGGUGGUGGAAAGGUUUUUCGGCCAGGGAUGUGCUCGCGGCCUAUCAGCUUGAUGGUGGGGUAAUGGCUCACCAUGGCUUCGACGGGUAGCCGGCCUGAGAGGGUGACCGGUCACACUGGGACUGAGACACGGCCCAGACUCCUACGGGAGGCAGCAGUGGGGAAUAUUGGACAAUGGGCGGAAGCCUGAUCCAGCAACGCCGCGUGAGGGAUGACGGCCUUCGGGUUGUAAACCUCUUUCAGCAGGGACGAAGCGCAAGUGACGGUACCUGCAGAAGAAGCACCGGCCAACUACGUGCCAGCAGCCGCGGUAA